GAACCUUAAAUUCUGGGUGUGUCAGAGAUUUUGGCACUCAAGAGACCCUGAAAUACUGGUGUGACCCAGUUCCUCUUAUGCUGGGAUUCUGUUGUCCUAAGAUCCUUGGCAUGUUACAGUGCCUGGAAGUGGUGUCUCCUUUGCGGACCAUGGAACUGUCUGGUCAGUGGGUUGACUUUUUUUUUUUUUAAACAUGGAUUCUUGUAUAUAAUUUGAGCUCUCAGAGUUGUAUGGUGAGUCCUUUACUGACGUCUGACUUCCCCAAGUUGCAUUAAAUUACUUUCUACUGAUAAAUAAUAUUCCAUUAUAAAACAUACCAUAUUUUACUUAUGCAUUUAUUAGCUGAUAAACAUUCAGGCUGUUAUAAAUAAUGAUGUUGUGAACAUUCAUGUACAAGGUAAAUGUAGAUUUAAGUUCUCUUUGUAGAUCAGUAACAAUUUUUUUUUUGUUCCACCUAUAGGGUUGCAGACCCAUUCAGUUCCUUGGGUGCUUUCUCUAGCUUCUCCACUGGGGGCCCUGUGUUCCAUCCAGUAGAUGACUAUAGGUCUUACAUGGUAUGUGGAGUUCACCAACUCAGCUAUCCUAGCUGGCCAGCAAGCACCAGGGAUCCUCCUGUUUGCACCUCCCUAACACUGCGAUUAGAAGAAGCAUGGCCACGCCAAAACCGAAACUGUCACACAUGUGUUGGGAACAUGGACUCAGGUUCUCAUGUUUGCAUAGCAAGCUCGACAUUGAAUGAGCUAAGUACUCUGGUGCCUCUUAAACUUGGUGAAUCAAAAUUCAUAGCCAAAAGGAUGCCAAGCUCCAAAGCAUGUCCAAAGCCAUUGGUGGAUUUUUGCAAAGGGUCCUUGUCUGGGGAAGUUAUUAUUUCACAGGAACACUACCAAAAGGAGUUGGUGUUACAGACAGCUGGAGUACAAAGGAGAACUGAAGAAGACAUGAAGCCAGUGUCAGACUUUUCCUAUCUGCUCUCAUACUAGAUAAGAAAAGGCAGAAAAACAUUCCUUAAUUAUGUCGCUUUGUACCACAUUUGACUUGCAUAACCUAAAUUCUGGAAGAAACUGAGGACAUAAUUCAAUACUUACCUAAGUCUGCACUGAGGUGUGGGUUGUGUAUCUCAUACCAUUCUAGUCAUGUAAUCAUGGACUAGAAUGUAUACAUGUCCUCACUGGUACCCCCUAGCAGGUGUUUUUUUGUUCGUUUGCACUAAAGAAUAAAGUAUAUCACAGGAGUACCUUGGGUGGUUGUGCUCUGAGUACAGACACUCCAAAGUAAGGGACCUGACCUGGGGCAUCAACAUCUGUAGACUGUCAGGUCAGAUAGCAAUGAUACAAUUUAACUCACACCCAGGAAGUCAACUCUUUUUUAAUUUUUAGCAAUUAUAUAGGAAAUUCACAAAAUGGAGUUUUGAUUUCUCAAUAUGGCAAAUCUUAAAGGCCUUGUGUAAAGAGCUCAUGAUGGACAAUGACUUCAGCUGCAUUCGGAAAAGAACGGUUCACUAGAAACUUUUUUCCAGUGAGUCUAACUGGGUUCUUAUUUAAUUGUGAGGCUUCCCCUCAAUUUAAGAGAAUACUUCCCAGUUUCAAACUCUUUAUUCAGAGUUCUUGGAAGACAGUGAAAUAAUUGAAAUUUUCAUCAAAACCAUAUAUCUUCACAUCUUCAAUAUUUAUAAUUAUAACAUUUAAUGCCUUUUAAGAUUAUAAUUUGUACUUGCCAUGCCAAAUUUACCCGAUUUUUAUGUAGACUAUUGAAGAAGUCAGAGGAGAUUGAAUCUCAUAAAUAGAGCUGUGGCUGCCAGGUGUGCUGGGGCAUCCUUUAAUCCUAGCACUAGGGAGGUAGAGGUAGGAGGAUUAGAAGUUCAAGGCUAACCUCAGGUAGCAGCAAGUAUAGGGCUAGCAUAUUCUAUAUGAGACCUUGAAUCAAAGGUAUGAUUGAAAAACCAAACCAAAUCAAAAGGCUGGGGACUACCACGUUAGCUGAAAAUUCUCAAAAAUGUAUUCUGACAUUUGAGCACACACAUUCAUACUUAAAAUGAAUUGAGGACACUUGUGUAACUUCUGGAAUCCUAGCUUUAGCAAGUUCCCCCACUUCUAAUCUAAUUCUGGCCUCAGAAUCUACAACGAGGGAAAGAGAGCUAGGAUCAUUUUUCAUUCCUCGGGCAAAUAUUUAUCAAGAAUCUGUAAAUGGCAGCUGGCCUGUUGUGUGUGUGAACCACAUAGCCCUCCAGCAUCAGCUCUGAGGAGCACCAUUCAGAGAAGAAAAAGGUGAUGGGUGGAAAGAUAAGUCCUGCUUCUCAUAAUGUACAGAGAAUGUAUCUAAAUGUACUUCAGAGAGUUUAAAGUGAUGAGUAAUGAUAUAAUCAAUAUAAGUACUUCAGAAUAUUUUUCUUAUAGAUGUAAUUCUCAGCGGCAUGGAAACCUACAGCAAUUAUAUUCUGCUCUCAAAAAUCCUUGUCUGACUUAUAUCAGGGCCGGUGGUGGGCUGAGACCUUGACUUCCAUGGUAUUCUGCUCAUUAGGUUGAUCUAGAAUCACUGUAGAAACCCCCCUUCUUCGUGCAGUUCCUUCCUGCUAGGGAUAUAUUUGCUUCUCAAUGAGCCUUCCCUGGAGAUGGAGAGCACAGUAAUUCUGUGGUUGUAUGUUCCUUAACAGUGAGGCUAUGCUCAGAGAAAUGAUUCAUAAAAUAAGACUUCAUUGUGUGCACAUCCCAAAGUGUACUCCCAUCAGUACAGUAGAUGCUGUAGGUCUGACAUUCAGCGUGGCAGAUUUGGUGAAUGUGAGAAGUAUGAGCUGCCACCCUAUCAACAGAGCAUGGUGUUCUACAGUAAAGCUUUUCUAGGCCAGAGCACCCUCUAAAACAGACGUUCUCAACCUGUAGGCCAGGAUCCCUUUGGGGGGGAUUGAAUGACCCUUUCACAGGGGUCAUAUACCAGAUAUCCUGCAUAUCAGAUAUUUACAAGAUGACUCAUAACAGCAAUGAAAUCACAGUUAUGAAGUUACAAUAAAAAUAAUCUUGUGGUUGUGGUCCCUAGAACAUGAAGCACCCUAUUAAGGGGUCGCAGCAUUAGGAAGACUGAGAACCACUGCUCUAAAACAAUGAUGGAUGUAAGCAUGUGAUGGAGCCUCUUAUUGUCAAAUCAGUUAUGUGCCAUGCUGCUCCACUUUCAUACAAAUGGCACAGUGCUAAGUUCACUUACACAAGUUCCACCAAAGCACUCUGAUAAAUUCAUUAUGUGGUGACAUAGCAAUGAUUAGGCCACCACUAUGUGAUAUGAAUGUUCAGUAUUGUUAUAAUUUUAUAGGACCAUCAUUGUAUAUACAGGUUAUUGUUAGCCAAAAUGUUAUGUGGGCAUGAUUUUAAAUAAAAAUAGUCUAUUCUAUUAAACAGGUAUAUUUAGAGCUAGGAAACUGUGGUCAGAGUGAACUUCUAUGAGAGAUUUUAAAAGUAGGGCAGUUUCAAAUGACUACAAAGUCUCACAAAAUGAGAAAGGCCAUGGAGAGGUGGAGAGAGUGAACUGUGGCUGAGGUUAAAAUGGCUGUUCAUUAAUAUGGUGUAGGCAAUAAAAAGUCAAAAUGAGUGUGGACUUGUGAGACUUACAGAUGGUUUGGCAGGGAUUCUAAGCAUCUUCUACCUGAUGUCACCUAUUUAUGCUUUUCAAGUAAAGAUUAUCUAUGGGUAGAACAGUGAAGUGUGGAAGUUUGGAACAGAAGGAAAGUAAAUCAAACUGGAAAUGCCCAGCAGAAGGGGAGUUCUGGUGAGUACUACAGAAUGACUGGAGCAUAGCUGGGUUCUGUUGCUCCAGCAAACCCAUCUGAAUGUGCCCUCAGAGCUUAUGUUACACAUGACAGCAUAAGGCCACAUUCAUCCAGAGUCAUAUUAAGCAUGAAGUGCUAGGUCCAGGUCCCAGGGUACUGAAGACUUGGAAUGGAUCCAAAAUACACAUUUCUAACAAGUUCCCAAGGGAUGCCACACUGGGACACAUUUGAGAACCACUGUUCUAAAUCUCUCUCCCUUGUAAAUAUUCUAACCUACCAGUCCCAAGAUCUGGCACAUUGUAGUUUUUAUAAAAACAUAUGAUGGAAGCAAUCAGACUUGAAUAUAUUGGACCCUUACAUCAUUUUCCUGGCUCUCUAAAUUUCUAGUGUUUUCAAAAAAUUUAUUGCUAAGUAUCAUUCAUAAUAUGUCCCAAAAUAAUGCAUUCCACGUCUUUCUACUUAAGAUGUCUCCUUCUUGUUUGAUACAAUUUCUCCCCAACUCCAUCUGUCACUACUUCUAUCAAAUUGGAUGCUUCCUACAUAUAUACAUUUUUAAUGUUUAUAAUGACACAAAUAUUACCCAUGGCUCAAAGUGCUUCUACAUAAAGAUUCCUGGGAUAUGGUCCAAAGUAUUUUGUCUUCCUUUACUGAACAAUAUUGUACCAAAAAUUUUUCAUCAUACUUUUCUUCUUAAUGAUCUAAUGAUGAUACCUUUUUCUUUACACUAAGAGUAAACACUUGAUAAGUAGCAUUUUAUAAAAUACACAUUUAUGUCUCCCAAAGAGUGUUCAGCAUGGCAGUAAAGAAGCUAGAACUACUUAAGUGAAUCUUACUGAUAGCAUGUAAUUCCUAUGUUCUAUUAAAGUUUAUGAAAUGAAUUGCAACUGUGAAUCAUAUAUCCCAUUUGUUUGUCCAGACUACAAAAAUGAUUUUUAAAGAAGUCAUGAUGUUGACCUUGUGUCCUUGGUUGUGACAUCAUGUGUGUUCCCUGUUAUCAUUUUCUUUUGUUAAACAUAUACAUAGUGUGGGGCUAAAGAGAUGGCUCAGAGGUUGAGAACACUGACUACUCUUUCCAAGGUCCUGAGUUCAAUCCCAUUGGCUACAUGGUGGCUCACAACCAUCUGUGAUGGGAUCUGGCUCCCUUUUCUGGCAUGCAGGUAUAUAUGCAAGCAGAACACUGUGUACAUAAUAAAUAGAUAAAUAAAUAACUGUUUAAA
This is a long non-coding RNA of Mus musculus (house mouse), 4971 nucleotides long. RefSeq annotates it as predicted gene, 39766. NCBI's taxonomy places the organism in Eukaryota, Metazoa, Chordata, Mammalia, Rodentia, Muridae. The transcript has 2 exons. The record is from RefSeq and is a predicted model, not a curated record.